ACGAACGCUGGCGGCGUGCUUAACACAUGCAAGUCGAGCGGUAAGGCCUUUCGGGGUACACGAGCGGCGAACGGGUGAGUAACACGUGGGUGAUCUGCCCUGCACUCUGGGAUAAGCCUGGGAAACUGGGUCUAAUACCGGAUAUGACCAUUGAUCGCAUGAUUUUUGGUGGAAAGAUUUAUCGGUGCAGGAUGGGCCCGCGGCCUAUCAGCUUGUUGGUGGGGUAAUGGCCUACCAAGGCGACGACGGGUAGCCGGCCUGAGAGGGCGACCGGCCACACUGGGACUGAGACACGGCCCAGACUCCUACGGGAGGCAGCAGUGGGGAAUAUUGCACAAUGGGCGAAAGCCUGAUGCAGCGACGCCGCGUGGAGGAUGACGGCCUUCGGGUUGUAAACUCCUUUCAGCAGGGACGAAGCGCAAGUGACGGUACCUGCAGAAGAAGCACCGGCCAACUACGU
RNAcentral lists this ribosomal RNA (460 nucleotides) under uncultured bacterium. RNAcentral describes it as "bacterial SSU rRNA". It matches the Rfam family "Bacterial small subunit ribosomal RNA", at positions 29 to 506 of the family's 1533-position model. The record is from RNAcentral.